RNAcentral lists this ribosomal RNA (450 nucleotides) under uncultured bacterium. Its description in RNAcentral is "bacterial SSU rRNA". It matches the Rfam family "Bacterial small subunit ribosomal RNA", at positions 29 to 526 of the family's 1533-position model. The record is from RNAcentral.
AGCGAACGCUGGCGGCAGGCCUAACACAUGCAAGUCGAGCGCCCCGCAAGGGGAGCGGCAGACGGGUGAGUAACGCGUGGGAACGUGCCCUUCGGUCCGGAAUAACCCAGGGAAACUUGGGCUAAUACCGGAUACGUCCGAAAGGAGAAAGAUUUAUCGCCGAAGGAUCGGCCCGCGUAAGAUUAGCUAGUUGGUGAGGUAACGGCUCACCAAGGCAAUGAUCUUUAGCUGUUCUGAGAGGAAGAUCAGCCACACUGGGACUGAGACACGGCCCAGACUCCUACGGGAGGCAGCAGUGGGGAAUAUUGGACAAUGGGCGCAAGCCUGAUCCAGCCAUGCCGCGUGAGUGAUGAAGGCCUUAGGGUUGUAAAGCUCUUUUACCAGGGAAGAUAAUGACGGUACCUGGAGAAUAAGCCCCGGCUAACUUCGUGCCAGCCGCCGCCGUAAAAC